AAUCUCAAAAAGCCGUCUCAGUUCGGAUUGGGCUCUGCAACUCGAGCCCAUGAAGUUGGAAUCGCUAGUAAUCGUGGAUCAGCACGCCACGGUGAAUACGUUCCCGGGCCUUGUACACACCGCCCGUCACACCAUGGGAGUUGGUUUUACCUGAAGACGGUGCGCUAACCCGCAAGGGAGGCAGCCGGCCACGGUAGGGUCAGCGACUGGGGUGAAGUCGUAACAAGGUAGCCGUAGGGGAACCUGCGGCUGGAUCACCUCCUUUCUAAGG
Molecule: ribosomal RNA, 271 nt
Filed under: Bradyrhizobium sp. AS23.2
Lineage: Bacteria; Pseudomonadati; Pseudomonadota; Alphaproteobacteria; Hyphomicrobiales; Nitrobacteraceae
Description: partial 16S ribosomal RNA
Rfam family: Bacterial small subunit ribosomal RNA
Source: RNAcentral